GACGAACGCUGGCGGCGUGCUUAACACAUGCAAGUCGAACGGAAAGGCCUGCUUUCCCUUGUGGAUUGCGGGUACUCGAGUGGCGAACGGGUGAGUAACACGUGAGUGAUCUGCCCCCAACUUGGGUAUAAGCCUGGGAAACUGGGUCUAAUUCCCGAUAGGACUGCAGGGUGGUGCCUGUGGUGGAAAACGAUUUUCUAGUGGUUGGGGAUGAGCUCGCGGCCUAUCAGCUUGUUGGUGGGGUAAUGGCCUACCAAGGCGGCGACGGGUAGCCGGCCGGAGAGCGUGGACCGUCGCAUUGGGACUGAGACACGGCCCCGACGCCUGCGGGAGGCAGCAGUUGUUAAUAUUGCACAAUGGGCGUAAGCCUGAUGCAGCGACGCCGCGUGGGGGAUGACGGCCUUCGGGUUGUAAACUCCUUUCGACCGCGAGGAAGCCACCUGGUUGGAAGGGUGGUGACGGUAGUGGUAGAAGAAGCACCGGCUAACUACGUG
RNAcentral lists this ribosomal RNA (494 nucleotides) under uncultured bacterium. RNAcentral's name for it is "partial 16S ribosomal RNA". It matches the Rfam family "Bacterial small subunit ribosomal RNA", at positions 28 to 507 of the family's 1533-position model. The record is from RNAcentral.